Molecule: ribosomal RNA, 382 nt
Filed under: uncultured bacterium
Lineage: Bacteria
Description: bacterial SSU rRNA
Rfam family: Bacterial small subunit ribosomal RNA
Source: RNAcentral
CCUUACCAACCCUUGACAUCCUAGGACAACUCCAGAGAUGGAGCCUUCCUUCGGGACCUAGUGACAGGUGCUGCAUGGCUGUCGUCAGCUCGUGUCGUGAGAUGUUCGGUUAAGUCCGGCAACGAGCGCAACCCACAUCCUUAGUUGCCAGCAGUUCGGCUGGGCACUCUAGGGAAACUGCCCGUGAUAAGCGGGAGGAAGGUGUGGAUGACGUCAAGUCCUCAUGGCCCUUACGGGUUGGGCUACACACGUGCUACAAUGGCAGUGACAAUGGGUUAAUCCCCAAAAACUGUCUCAGUUCGGAUUGGGGUCUGCAACUCGACCCCAUGAAGUCGGAAUCGCUAGUAAUCGCGUAACAGCAUGACGCGGUGAAUACGUUCCC